Molecule: ribosomal RNA, 253 nt
Filed under: uncultured bacterium
Lineage: Bacteria
Description: partial 16S ribosomal RNA
Rfam family: Bacterial small subunit ribosomal RNA
Source: RNAcentral
UACGGAGGGUGCGAGCGUUGUCCGGAAUCACUGGGCGUAAAGGGCGCGUAGGCGGCCUACUAAGUCAGACGUGAAAUCCCCCGGCUUAACCUGGGAACUGCGUCUGAUACUGGAAGGCUUGAGGAUGGGAGAGGGAUGUAGAAUUCCAGGUGUAGCGGUGAAAUGCGUAGAUAUCUGGAGGAAUACCGGUGGCGAAGGCGGCAUCCUGGACCAUUACUGACGCUGAGGCGCGAAAGCUAGGGGAGCAAACGGG